UACGUAGGGUGCAAGCGUUAAUCGGAAUUACUGGGCGUAAAGCGCGCGCAGGCGGCUAUCCAAGUCAGUGGUGAAAGCCCGGAGCUCAACUCCGGAACUGCCAUUGAAACUGUUUAGCUUGAGGACGAGAGAGGUGAGUGGAAUUCCCAGUGUAGAGGUGAAAUUCGUAGAUAUUCGGAGGAACACCAGUGGCGAAGGCGGCUCACUGGCUCGACACUGACGCUGAGGUGCGAAAGCGUGGGGAGCAAACAGG
RNAcentral lists this ribosomal RNA (253 nucleotides) under uncultured bacterium. Its description in RNAcentral is "partial 16S ribosomal RNA". It matches the Rfam family "Bacterial small subunit ribosomal RNA", at positions 524 to 776 of the family's 1533-position model. The record is from RNAcentral.